Misgurnus anguillicaudatus (oriental weatherfish) is the source of this 1336-nucleotide non-coding RNA. NCBI's taxonomy places the organism in Eukaryota, Metazoa, Chordata, Actinopteri, Cypriniformes, Cobitidae. The record is from RefSeq and is a predicted model, not a curated record.
UCACACAGUGGAUUUAUAAAAAUGAGAUUACAGAACAUCAGACGGUAGCUUCAACAGAGUUGAAGUGGGAGGACAUCAUCAAUUAAGAAUGCCAUUGACCAAACCUUCAGUCAUCAAAGAAGAUGGAUACAGGGGGACAUCCAGUUUUCCAGACUUACCGAUGGGAAAGAAGAAAUGGGAAUGUGACAAUUAUUGAGAAACUCGGAAAAAGCAUCUUUAGAGAAGAAAAUGGACAUCAGACAUUUAUUGAAGAAAGCUGACAGUCAACAUAAUGAUGAGAGCUGUGUUAUACUCGUUCAUCUUCUGCUGUGUGAAUUCUGCUGUGUCAGUCCUGUGGGACUUGAUGCCGGCUGGUACCAGUGUGACGUCUUUGCUUACUAAAUGAUCAAAGGGUGUCUGAAAUCAGCUCAGCCACAGUUGGUUUCCAACGGUUCUUCAGGACAUGGAGGCCACUACGUAACUGUUGCAAUGAACGAUUCUUUUGCCUUUCCACCUGAUGUUGACAAUCUGACCUGUGCGGUACUGAAAACCACUUGCACUGACAUAUCUUAAAAUAUAUCAGUGUCCUUUGUUUUGCCUCAAAAUGCACACCAGUAAUGUUUUUUGUUGAAACCAGUUAUAUUUCCUAAUUAAACUAAGGCCUAGUCCUGGAUUAAGCUAAUCCACUGUCCGGGAAACCGCCCCUAAAUGUUUUGUGACGGAAAUUUCUUUGAAUACACUUGUCAAGUUCAUUUUAAGUAUUUUUCUAAAUGUAAGAUAACAUGUUAAUGUUUCAGGACAAGUUAAAAAUUUUUGAUAAUUUGCAUGUUGGAAACGAUUUCAGACAUUGUUCUAUUCAACAUGUUUAGCACAGUUGCUUUUAAAUUCAAUGAAUUAUUUUAUAAAUAGUGUUUUAAAACGUAUCAAUGUAAUGUAUGUUUGAAGUUAUUAUACUUGCACUUACAUUUAUUUAAAUUAGCAUACAUCUAGCAACAUAGAGUACUAGCAUAUUUUCAUGCAAGCAUUAAUUGUCAAAUAUUUGUUAUUUUACAAAUAAAUAGUUUGUGAACAAUAUUCAAUAGUUGUCUGCUUGAUUUCAUAAUUUAAAGUUUACAAAUCAUAUGUUUUUUUUUCUCUUUAAUAUUAAAACUAAACAAUUACUCGGUAACACACAGUUGUGUUAGAUUAAUAGAAAGUUACACAUUAAUGUGUUUACUGAAGCAACACAUUUUUGUGUUGCAUUUUAUAACACAUAUUCUGUGUUAAAUUUAACUCAACAUGUGUUGUCCCUGCGCACACUCAGAACAUGUGUAAAAAAUAACACAUGUUGUGUUGUUUUUAACACAUUUGUUUUAAG